AUCUAUACUGUGAAACUGCGAAUGGCUCAUUAAAUCAGUUAUCGUUUAUUUGAUAGUACCUCACUACAUGGAUAACCGUGGUAAUUCUAGAGCUAAUACAUGCUAAAAACCCCGACUUCGGGAGGGGUGUAUUUAUUAGACAAAAAACCAAUGCCCUUCGGGGCUCCUUGGUGAAUCAUGAUAACUUAACGAAUCGCAUGGCCUUGCGCCGGCGAUGGUUCAUUCAAAUUUCUGCCCUAUCAACUUUCGAUGGUAGGAUAGUGGCCUACCAUGGUAUCAACGGGUAACGGGGAAUUAGGGUUCUAUUCCGGAGAGGGAGCCUGAGAAACGGCUACCACAUCCAAGGAAGGCAGCAGGCGCGCAAAUUACCCAAUCCCGACACGGGGAGGUAGUGACAAUAAAUACUGAUACAGGGCUCUUUUGGGUCUUGUAAUUGGAAUGAGUACAAUUUAAAUACCUUAACGAGGAACAAUUGGAGGGCAAGUCUGGUGCCAGCAGCCGCGGUAAUUCCAGCUCCAAUAGCGUAUAUUAAAGUUGUUGCAGUUAAAAAGCUCGUAGUUGAACCUUGGGCCUGGCUGGCCGGUCUGCCUCACCGCAUGUACUGGUUCGGCCGGGCCUUUCCUCCUGGGGAUCCGCAUGCCCUUCACUGGGUGUGUUGGGGAACCAGGACUUUUACUUUGAAAAAAUUAGAGUGUUCAAAGCAGGCCUUUGCUCGAAUACAUUAGCAUGGAAUAAUAGAAUAGGACGUGCGGUUCUAUUUUGUUGGUUUCUAGGACCGCCGUAAUGAUUAAUAGGGAUAGUCGGGGGCAUCAGUAUUCAGUUGUCAGAGGUGAAAUUCUUGGAUUUACUGAAGACUAACUACUGCGAAAGCAUUUGCCAAGGAUGUUUUCAUUAAUCAGUGAACGAAAGUUAGGGGAUCGAAGACGAUCAGAUACCGUCGUAGUCUUAACCGUAAACUAUGCCGACUAGGGAUCGGGCGAUGUUAUUCUUUUGACUCGCUCGGCACCUUACGAGAAAUCAAAGUCU
Molecule: ribosomal RNA, 1026 nt
Filed under: Neodeightonia subglobosa
Lineage: Eukaryota; Fungi; Ascomycota; Dothideomycetes; Botryosphaeriales; Botryosphaeriaceae
Description: SSU rRNA
Rfam family: Eukaryotic small subunit ribosomal RNA
Source: RNAcentral